UACGGAGGAUGCAAGCGUUAUCCGGAUUCAUUGGGUUUAAAGGGUGCGUAGGCGGCUUUUUAAGUCAGUGGUGAAAUCCUGCCGCUUAACGGUAGAAUUGCCAUUGAUAGUGAGAAGCUUGAGUACGGUUGAGGUAAGCGGAAUGUGUAGUGUAGCGGUGAAAUGCUUAGAUAUUACACAGAACACCAAUUGCGAAGGCAGCUUACUAAACCGGCAACUGACGCUGAUGCACGAAAGCGUGGGGAGCGAACAGG
Molecule: ribosomal RNA, 254 nt
Filed under: uncultured bacterium
Lineage: Bacteria
Description: partial 16S ribosomal RNA
Rfam family: Bacterial small subunit ribosomal RNA
Source: RNAcentral